This 522-nucleotide ribosomal RNA is filed under the name uncultured bacterium. RNAcentral describes it as "bacterial SSU rRNA". It matches the Rfam family "Bacterial small subunit ribosomal RNA", at positions 112 to 656 of the family's 1533-position model. The record is from RNAcentral.
AACACGUAGGUAAUGUACCUUUGGGUGGGGAAUAACUUAGGGAAACUUAAGCUAAUACCGCAUAAUGCGAUAACUUCUUCGGAAGUGAUGGUUAAAGAUUUAUCGCCUGAAGAGCAGCCUGCGGCAGAUUAGCUAGUUGGUAAGGUAACGGCUUACCAAGGCUACGAUCUGUAUCCGACCUGAGAGGGUGGUCGGACACACUGACACUGAAUAACGGGUCAGACUCCUAAGGCAGCAGUCGGGAAUUUUGGGCAAUGGGCGAAAGCCUGACCCAGCAACGCCGCGUGAAGGAUGAAGUCUUUCGGGAUGUAAACUUCGUAAGAAUAGGAAGAAUAAAUGACGGUACUAUUUGUAAGGUCCGGCUAACUACGUGCCAGCAGCCGCGGUAAUACGUAGGGACCAAGCGUUGUUCGGAUUUACUGGGCGUAAAGGGCGCGUAGGCGGCGUGACAAGUCAAUUGUGAAAUCUCCGGGCUUAACUCGGAACGGUCAAUUGAUACUGUUGUGCUAGAGUACAGAAGGG